UUCAUUCCCAUUCAUUUGGCACUGCAAUCAGUGCACAUCCUGUCCAUUUAAUAAAAUGUAAAUAUUUGUAAUCCUCUGUUAAAGACUAAAACAUGAACAUGAGCCAACUCCCACUGUCCUCCUUUACAGUCUCAAAGCUCAUUCCAGAUAAGAUCCACAGGGCUCAGGACUUCCCCUUUGUCAUAUUAACUCAGCUCUGCAUCAGAAAAGGCUGCCGGGCCCCAGUUGGUGAUCAGCUUCUGUCCCUUCGAACCUGGAGAAAAAAUUCAAGAGAUUAUUCACCUUGGAGAGUUUCAUACCAGUUGGACGUGCCUAGAAAAUCUCCAAUGCAAGGCACCCAGGAAAAAUCCUGAUCAGAGGCCAAACCACCUCAACUGGUUCCUUUUUGAGGAGCUUCCUCCGGAUGUCUCAGCUCCUUGCCCAAUCAUCCUUUUCUGGAUUAGGAAAAUGCAGCUAUUGUGUGGGUGCAGUUAAUUGACCUUGUUAAACUGGCUGAUCGUGGUGGUAAAGCUACUCCUGAAUUUCUGUGGUGUAUGUAACACAUCUAUCUAGGGCUGGGUGAUAUGGAAUUUUUUAUCCUGAUAACAGUUUUGGCCAUAUCAGUCGACAUCGAUAUUUAUCAUGAUGCCACACUGUUUUUUUCUUUCAGGUUUAAGGGCUGAUUUUGGCUCCUGAGUGAAAGUUGAAGAAACCAGACAGUCAACUGGUUUUAAACUGUUCUAUUUAGUCAAAACAUGACCAAACACUUGCCAAACAGCAGAACAUUAAAAACUCUGAGGUACAGACAUUCAGAAUUUGAUCAAAUAUACCUGAUUAAAAUCAAAAUCUUAUUCAGUCCUUUUUACUCAAAGUAAAUAGAAUUAAGUUCUGCAGUGUGAUACAUCACACAUGAAACAUGAUCAGACUGCAAAAUUAAUAAAAAAUAAAUAGAAGAUUUGCACAGGGUACAGGCCUGGCGCUCGUCGAGGGUCCUCUAAGACUCGUUUGAACCUGUAAUGGAACAGGUUUGUGGUGUUGCCUGUCUUUGAUGGAACGUGUCUCCGACAGUGCGCACUGCACAUUGCUCUGUUUUUUGUCAGACUGUAAACGGCCCAAACAUCUCCAAACUACUAAAGUUGAGUGUCCUCUCUCGUCGACGAUAUCUUCGUUCUCCGAGCUGCGUUCUGCUUUUUCUGCAGUCUCGCUCAUUUUGCCUUAUUUGUUUACUCCUCUCCAACUUCCAGCCUGUCGUCCUCUGCGUGCGUCUGUAAAUAAUAUCACGUGCUGGCCUGUAUGUAUACCUCUCACCGUGCAUCCUAACUUGCACAGUACAGACCUCUAUUCCUGCGACAUGAUUGGCCGGUCGUUAUUCAUUUGUGGGCGUGCUAUAAGCAUGGAAAUGAAUUAUAUCGAACAUUUAUCUAACAUUUUUUACAUUUCUAUCGAGGAAAAUAAUUUUGCGAUAAUUAUCGCUAUCGUUUUAUCGCCCAGCCCUACAUCUAUCCAUAGAAGAACCAGAUUCAGGGAGUGUCUGUCUUAAAAACAUCAUCAACAACAUUAAUAUUUUAGGUUCUUUGAGGAUUAUUUUUGCCAUAAGAGACAUUUUUGUUUCCAACCCACAGGAAAGGCAGACUCGACUGGACUGGAAUACUGGACAUGAAUAGUCUCAAAAAUUGGAUUUCAAACAAUCAAAAUUUUAAGAAUUACAAGUUUAACCAAAUCUAAUUCUAACCUUAAUACUGAGUUCUAAACCCAGUGUGG
Molecule: long non-coding RNA, 1740 nt
Organism: Seriola aureovittata
Lineage: Eukaryota; Metazoa; Chordata; Actinopteri; Carangiformes; Carangidae
Exons: 3
Source: RefSeq, a predicted model, not a curated record